RNAcentral lists this ribosomal RNA (1487 nucleotides) under uncultured prokaryote. RNAcentral describes it as "partial 16S ribosomal RNA". It matches the Rfam family "Bacterial small subunit ribosomal RNA". The record is from RNAcentral.
GAGUUUGAUCCUGGCUCAGAUUGAACGCUGACGGCAGGCCUAACACAUGCAAGUCGAACGGUAACAGCAGGAGCUUGCUUCUGGCGGUGAGUAAUGCACAGGAAUCUACCCAGUAGAGGGGGACAACUCAGGGAAACUUGAGCUAAUACCGCAUACGUCCUACGGGAGAAAGCAGGGGACCUUCGGGCCUUGUGCUAUUGGAUGAGCCUGUGUUAGAUUAGCUAGUUGGUGAGGUAAAGGCUCACCAAGGCGACGAUCUAUAGCUGGUCUGAGAGGACGAUCAGCCACACUGGGACUGAGACACGGCCCAAACUCCUACGGGAGGCAGCAGUGGGGAAUAUUGCGCAAUGGAGGAAACUCUGACGCAGCCAUGCCGCGUGUGUGAAGAAGGCUUUCGGGUUGUAAAGCACUUUCAAUGGGGAGGAAAGGUUAUUAACGAAUAAUUGGUAGCUGUGACGUUACCCAUAGAAGAAGCACCGGCUAACUCCGUGCCAGCAGCCGCGGUAAUACGGAGGGUGCGAGCGUUAAUCGGAAUUACUGGGCGUAAAGCGCGCGUAGGCGGCCUGAUAAGUUGGAUGUGAAAGCCCUGGGCUCAACCUGGGAACUGCAUUUAGAACUGACUCGCUAGAGUACAGUAGAGGGUGGUGGAAUUUCCAGUGUAGCGGUGAAAUGCGUAGAGAUUGGAAGGAACAUCAGUGGCGAAGGCGGCCACCUGGACUGAUACUGACGCUGAGGUGCGAAAGCGUGGGGAGCAAACAGGAUUAGAUCCCCUGGUAGUCCACGCCGUAAACGAUGUCUACUAGCCGUUGGGGGAACUUGAUUCCUUAGUGGCGCAGCUAACGCGUUAAGUUCUCCGCCUGGGGAGUACGCCGGCAACGGUAAAACUCAAAGGAAUUGACGGGGACCCGCACAAGCGGUGGAGCAUGUGGUUUAAUUCGAUGCAACGCGAAGAACCUUACCAGCCAUUGACAUACUCGGAACUUUCCAGAGAUGGAUCGGUGCCUUCGGGAAUCGAGAUACAGGUGCUGCAUGGCUGUCGUCAGCUCGUGUCGUGAGAUGUUGGGUUAAGUCCCGCAACGAGCGCAACCCUUGUCCUUAGUUGCCAGCACGUUAUGGUGGGAACUCUAAGGAGACUGCCGGUGACAAACCGGAGGAAGGUGGGGACGACGUCAAGUCAUCAUGGCCCUUAUGGGCUGGGCUACACACGUGCUACAAUGGUGCAUACAGAGGGUUGCCAACCAGCGAUGGGGAGCUAAUCCCAGAAAGUGCAUCUUAGUCCGGAUUGGAGUCUGCAACUCGACUCCAUGAAGUUGGAAUCUCUAGCAAUCGCGAAUCACCAACGUCGCGGUGAAUACGUUCCCGGGCCUUGUACACACCGCCCGUCACACCAUGGGAGUGGGUUGCACCAGAAGUAGCUAGACUAACCUUCGGGAGGUCGGUUACCACGGUGUGGUUCAUGACUGGGGUGAAGUCGAAACAAGGUAGCC